Molecule: ribosomal RNA, 440 nt
Filed under: uncultured bacterium
Lineage: Bacteria
Description: bacterial SSU rRNA
Rfam family: Bacterial small subunit ribosomal RNA
Source: RNAcentral
CCUACGGGAGGCAGCAGUCGAGAAUUUUUCUCAAUGGGCGAAAGCCUGAAGGAGCGACGCCGCGUGUGGGAUGAAGGGUUUCGAUCCGUAAACCACUGUCAUUUGUGAACAAUGGUUAUCCGUGAAUAACGGAUGACUUGAUAGUAAUGAAAGAGGAAGGGACGGCUAACUCUGUGCCAGCAGCCGCGGUAAUACAGAGGUCCCGAGCGUUGUUCGGAUUCACUGGGCGUAAAGGGUGCGUAGGUGGCAUGGUAAGUUUGAUGUGAAAGCUCAGGGCUCAACCCUGAAAUGGCAUUGAAUACUACUGUGCUGGAGGUUUGGAGGGGGGACUGGAAUUCUUGGUGUAGCAGUGAAAUGCGUAGAUAUCAAGAGGAACACCAGUGGCGAAGGCGAGUCCCUGGACAACACCUGACACUGAGGCACGAAAGCCGGGGGAGCAA